RNAcentral lists this ribosomal RNA (468 nucleotides) under uncultured bacterium. RNAcentral describes it as "partial 16S ribosomal RNA". It matches the Rfam family "Bacterial small subunit ribosomal RNA", at positions 28 to 507 of the family's 1533-position model. The record is from RNAcentral.
GACGAACGCUGGCGGCGUGCUUAACACAUGCAAGUCGAACGGAAAGGCCCUGCUUUUGUGGGGUGCUCGAGUGGCGAACGGGUGAGUAACACGUGAGUAACCUGCCCUUGACUUUGGGAUAACUUCAGGAAACUGGGGCUAAUACCGGAUAGGAGCUCCUGCUGCAUGGUGGGGGUUGGAAAGUUUCGGCGGUUGGGGAUGGACUCGCGGCUUAUCAGCUUGUUGGUGGGGUAGUGGCUUGCCAGGGCUUUGACGGGUAGCCGGCCUGGGAGGGUGACCGGCCACAUUGGGACUGAGAUACGGCCCAGACUCCUACGGGAGGCAGCAGUGGGGAAUAUUGCACAAUGGGCGGAAGCCUGAUGCAGCAACGCCGCGUGCGGGAUGACGGCCUUCGGGUUGUAAACCGCUUUCGCCUGUGACGAAGCGUGAGUGACGGUAAUGGGUAAAGAAGCACCGGCUAACUACGUG